RNAcentral lists this ribosomal RNA (497 nucleotides) under uncultured bacterium. RNAcentral describes it as "partial 16S ribosomal RNA". It matches the Rfam family "Bacterial small subunit ribosomal RNA", at positions 28 to 507 of the family's 1533-position model. The record is from RNAcentral.
GAUGAACGCUGGCGGCGUGCCUAAUACAUGCAAGUCGAGCGAACGGACGAGAAGCUUGCUUCUCUGAUGUUAGCGGCGGACGGGUGAGUAACACGUGGAUAACCUACCUAUAAGACUGGGAUAACUUCGGGAAACCGGAGCUAAUACCGGAUAAUAUUUUGAACCGCAUGGUUCAAAAGUGAAAGACGGUCUUGCUGUCACUUAUAGAUGGAUCCGCGCUGCAUUAGCUAGUUGGUAAGGUAACGGCUUACCAAGGCAACGAUGCAUAGCCGACCUGAGAGGGUGAUCGGCCGCACUGGAACUGAGACACGGUCCAGACUCCUACGGGAGGCAGCAGUAGGGAAUCUUCCGCAAUGGGCGAAAGCCUGACGGAGCAACGCCGCGUGAGUGAUGAAGGUCUUCGGAUCGUAAAACUCUGUUAUUAGGGAAGAACAUAUGUGUAAGUAGCUGUGCACAUCUUGACGGUACCUAAUCAGAAAGCCACGGCUAACUACGUG